Molecule: long non-coding RNA, 751 nt
Organism: Prunus persica (peach)
Lineage: Eukaryota; Viridiplantae; Streptophyta; Magnoliopsida; Rosales; Rosaceae
Exons: 2
Source: RefSeq, a predicted model, not a curated record
UGGGGGGCUAUGAAUUGUAUUGAUUUUGAGGUAUUUAUGUUUAUGCAAUUUCUUCUUCAUAAUUGUCGAUAGUUGGAAAAUGACUUUUUUCUUGCUCUAGAUUCUGUGAUGCUGUUAUAAUCUGCGUAGUUGUUGUUAAUUCUUUUUAUUUCCUUGUGUUUGUGUAAAUUUGUAAAUAGUCACAUUGUUUGUAUUGAAUUUUACUUCGUUAAAUUGAUAAUUUUUGCUAAUAGUGAUGUAUAGGCGUAAAGAUAUGAAUCUUGGAGAUGGCCUGUUCUUAAGAGUCUUGUCGUGAGGUGGCCACAAAGUAUCCUGGGAUCAACUAUAAGGAAAUAAUUGUGGGCAACUGCUGCAUGCAACUUGUUUCGAAGCCUGAUCAAUUUGAUGUCAUGGUGAAUAAAGGGCAACGGAGUUGGUCAUCUACAGACGGUGGCAGGCGAUGACGGCCAACGGUGGUGGUGGCAGGUGGCCGGCGGCGGGAGUCCGGCGGUGGUGGCCGGCGGCGGUGGCCGGCGGCAGGAUUCCGGCAGUGGUGGCCGGCGGCGAGAUAUGAUUGGCUAGAUAUGGACAUGUGGCAUAGUAUGCUUGCCUUAGAAGGAGUGGCAUUGUGUGUAAUUUUGAUAUGUUUUAAUGAUAUUUUUGUAAAAUUAGGUACCACAAUUUGGUCUUUUGCCUUAUGCUAAUUAGAUGAAAUUGUAUUACUAUCUUCCAAAUUAGUAAACUAUAUUGUGUUUUAAAACUAAAGCUCCCU